Molecule: ribosomal RNA, 252 nt
Filed under: uncultured bacterium
Lineage: Bacteria
Description: partial 16S ribosomal RNA
Rfam family: Bacterial small subunit ribosomal RNA
Source: RNAcentral
UACAGAGGGUGCGAGCGUUAAUCGGAAUUACUGGGCGUAAAGCGCGCGUAGGCGGCUUUGCAAGUCGGGUGUGAAAUCCCCAGGCUUAACCUGGGAACUGCAUUCGAGACUGCAUUGCUAGAGUAUGGGAGAGGGAAGUGGAAUUUCAGGUGUAGCGGUGAAAUGCGUAGAUAUCUGAAGGAACAUCAGUGGCGGAAGCGACUUCCUGGACCAAUACUGACGCUCAUGUGCGAAAGCGUGGGGAGCAACAGG